Long non-coding RNA from Oncorhynchus masou masou (cherry salmon), 1043 nucleotides. RefSeq lists it as uncharacterized. The transcript is spliced from 11 exons. Lineage: Eukaryota; Metazoa; Chordata; Actinopteri; Salmoniformes; Salmonidae. The record is from RefSeq and is a predicted model, not a curated record.
CUGGCGACGUUUAUUCUCUCUCUCUCGCGCGUUCUUCUCUCUGUUGAGUCCUGUGGAUGACUUGCUGGAGCAGAACGUCCUCUGCAUUAUGGAAGUUGAUAUGUUAGAAAUGCUUCUUUAGUAUCUACUUAUUGGUAUAGUGUUGUCCCGUAAGUCUUGCCCUGGUUAUUAGUUAAGUAGUUAACAGUAGCUACCUUGGAGCAUGAGGACUUGCAGAACCAUGCACGUGGGCAACUCUGAACGUUUUGAAACCAUGCCGGGCUGUCUGUACCUGGCCUAUGUGGAUUCAACUGAAGCCGUACACGCCAAUGACUGCGCACAUGGCAGACGCUGCCCUGAUGACUUGAUUUAAAGUAGACUUAACCUCGAAAGGUGUGCAACAGAACCAAGGAUGGUGUGGAGGCAUCUGAAAAGAUUUGGGAGACUACGCAGUGACCUGUGGCUGAACCAUACACAUGAAGCCAUACACGCGGAGACUCCACCCAAAUGACUUAAUGGUGGAGACAUCACCUCAAGGUGUGACGCUGCCACUAUGAGUUGAUGGCAUGGAGACUCCAUCUGCCAAGUGGUUUUGAACAGGUGUAGAACUGACCCAAUGAUGUGGCUGGAGUGGAGACCAUCUUUAAAGGUGUGGAACUGAACCAACGCUGUGAAAGGUAGGUUGCCUUUGCAUAACAUCCCUGCAGUCUCAGAACUGGACAUGUCAACUGGGGUGUUCCUCGUCUGAUGCCCCCUGCUGAUUUUCAGCCCCAACCUACCCUUCAGGGGCACAGUCACCCGAUCACAAUUUAGAAGAGCCUUUCCGAUCUAUUGUCUGAGUUUUGUUCAGUGGUGAUAUUUAGUUCUGAACUUAAAGAGUGGUGUUUGUUUAUGGGCCCUCACUUUGAGUGGGAUAUUUAAAAAUGUGUAAAUGUUGUACUGUGGCACUUCACCUCUUUAAGAUGUAACUGUAUAUGCUUUCAGUGUGUUCACACUCCGGGACUCUAUUCCAUGUUUUUUACAGCUUGAAUUAAAUUGAGGUUGUUACCGGCCUACACACAGUA